Long non-coding RNA from Oncorhynchus tshawytscha (Chinook salmon), 2638 nucleotides. Lineage: Eukaryota; Metazoa; Chordata; Actinopteri; Salmoniformes; Salmonidae. The record is from Ensembl.
CGCAGAGUUCCAAUAAUAUUUUUGUUGUUUACAUUUUAACUAUAAAACAACGUGAGCAGGUCUCACUGCAAAGAAUAGUGAAGCAGGCAUUGUGACGUUGAACAAUAAGCUGGGAAUAGAACGUUCGGAAGGCGAGUUGGUGCCACGGUGCUCAAUAGAACUAAUAGGAGCUGGCAGGGUGAAAAAUGCACUAAAAUAAGGCCCGUUUUUUCACGAUUACUUCAAAACGACAGCAAGCACUUGGGAAAUAUAGUCAUAACUGGGCUCCACGGCGGAUAAAAUGAUCUAGUUUAUGUCAGAAAAGAACGUUGUUAAAAAAUUCAUGUGUCCAGCCUACAAUCUACACAGAUUUCAGAGCACUCUCAUCUGAGUGUACCAGAGUGCAGAAUAAUUACUUUACGAGCACUCAACACCCGUUGAAUAUGGCCGGUGUCAGUAAACGUCGGACAAAAAGCGUAAUUAAAUUGUUUCCAGCAGCAUAUUUACAGUCACCAACGCUCUGGAUAACACGAAAACUGCCUUACCAGCUCUGCUAGGGCGAGUAAAAUGGUCAGAGUGGUCUCAUUUGUGUCUGGAAGUAACCAGCCAACGUUAGCUUGGGUGCUUGACUGCCGUUGUAAGGCCAGAAUGCUCAAAUCAACCCUACUCCUCGGCCCGAACGUCCUGUGUGCACUCCGAGAGCGAAACGGACUGAAAUUACAAACUGACACAUUUUCUCUGAAUGGAAACACCAUAAUAUUAAUCAAAUUAAUUAAGCCAAAUUUCUCUAAAUCAAUCCCAUAAACUAUGUUAUUACAAAAAAGGUUACAAAUUCUCUGGUAAUGCCAAUACGGAAUACUAUCAAAUGCUUCUCAAAGAUGCCCUCUGGCGGUCAAACUAGCAAUAACUUGCAGUAGCAGAAGAAAUGGCUGAGAAUGAAAUGAUGUGCCACAGAAUGCUGCAGCAGCACGCAGGGUGUCCCACAGUAUGACGCAACAUUUAAAGGAGGAACCACCGUAGAAUAAAAAUGUGUGAAUAAAAUGAUGUACAAUGACGAAAAUAUGACAAAAACAUUGACAAAUUGAUCAGGAAACAUAAGGACACAAAUAUUUUUCUCACAGUUCUUGCAUUCACGCACAGUGAAGGAUAAAACAGAAUAAUAAUGUUCGAAAUACUGAGAUUCUUUGCACAGCCACAGUUGGCGAGCUGAACUUGGGAGUUAGGCUAAUAAACACUGCCGGCUUAUGCUAGCUGGGACUUAAUCACUCACUCUUAAAGGGGCAGGCUUUCUUACAGGUGAAUAAAACAGAAAUGAAUAUACAACUGUUGUUUAUGAUCAGCAAACAGUUUGUGAUUCAUGUCAUUGUAUUGUACUGGAAGUUCUGACAACAAACUAUAAUUUAUUGGGUUCAAUGAAGAAAGUUCUAAUAGGAUUCUAAUUGGGGUACAAAAAAAAAUCCUACAAGAUUUAUAGGAUCCAAUCAGAUUAUCUAUAUUUUUCCAAUAGGGAAAAAGGUAGUCCAAUAGGAUUCCAAUUGGAUUCUGAUAGAGGUGAUACAAAAUCCUAUGGGAUUGUGAGACUCAUAUAGAGUCCAAUAUGAUUACCUUUGAUUCCCAGUAGGAAAAAGUAGUUCAAUAAAAUUCCACUAGGAUUACGAAACAUGUUCCACAAAAUCUUAUAGGACUGUGAGAAUCCUGUAGGAUUCAAUAUGAUAAAAAAAGACUAAUCCAUUAGGAAAAAAGUAGUGCAAUAGGAUUCAAAAGGGAUUUUGAGAGAGGUGACACCAAAUCCGAUAGGAUUGUGAGACUCCUAUAGGGUUCUAUUGGAAAAAUCACUAAUCCUAUAGGAUUUCUUGACUAGAGCAGGAAAUUGGACAGUAGUGACACAGACACUGUACUUACCAAGGAUUGGUUUGCAACUGUAUCCCACAGGCAAACCCAUCAUAGACAACAACACAGAUGCCAUCUAUGGGAGCAGAAAGACCAUCUGUGUGAUCAGCCGCUGCUACCGGAGAGUGAGUGGUGCUCCAGAGAGAUCCAGGUGGCCAGCAGCUUGCAGCCAAAUCAACACCUUGGUUCUUGCCUACGGUGCAGCGAUGGGAACCUCUCCUCCCUACCUCCCGUAAGAGAUGUGUAAUACUUCUGCUGCAUAUAUUUGAAAAUACAUAUCUCCAUUACUUUUUAGUAUUUUAUCAUUUGUAUUUGAGAGGCCAGAAAAAAAUCCAUGUGAUUUGUAACAGGAUCCUUCAGAACAUUUUAUCAGACGUCUUAUGACAGUAUCCUGUGUGGCCAUUACAGGUGUUGGUGGAUGAGUGGAGGAACUUGAGAGAAAGUUGAAACAGGGAUGCACUUCCAGAGAAAGGAUAAUGCAGUGAAUUUGGUCCACAUGGGAAUCGACUUUUGUAUUUUCUGUAUUUUAAAUACAAGAUAUUGUGUAUUUUAUUUGACACCAGUAUUUUGUCAUUUAUUCAGAUCAUUUGUUUGGGUGGUACUUUGUAACAAUAUACAUUUUGAUGGACACUACAUAACCAAAGGCUUCCAUCCUUCUCCCUGGACCUCCUUAAUAUCCACGUCUUGAACAUCAGACUCUGAGGCCUCAUCUUCACUGUCACUUUUCAACCUUGUUUACGAUGGCUCGUUGUCAGGCUCAAAAAGCCGC